Molecule: ribosomal RNA, 207 nt
Filed under: uncultured bacterium
Lineage: Bacteria
Description: partial 16S ribosomal RNA
Rfam family: Bacterial small subunit ribosomal RNA
Source: RNAcentral
UACGUAGGAGGCGAGCGUUGUCCGGAGUUACUGGGCGUAAAGCGCACGCAGGCGGUCAGAUCAGUCUGGAGUGACAGUCGUCGGCUUAACCGACGAAGUGUUCUGGAAACUGUCUGACUUGAGGGCUUCAGAGGGACACGGAAUUCCGGGGUGGAGUGGUGAAAUGCGUAGAUAUCCGGAGGAACACCGAUGGCGAAGGCAGGUCUC